UACAGAGGGGGCCAGCGUUAUUCGGAAUUAUUGGGCGUAAAGGGCGCGUAGGCGGCCUUGCGUGUCUUUCGUGAAAUCCCUCGGCUUAACUGAGGACGUGCGGAAGAAACUGCAGGGCUUGAGUCCGGGAGAGGGGGGUGGAAUUCCCAGUGUAGCGGUGAAAUGCGUAGAUAUUGGGAGGAACACCGGUGGCGAAGGCGGCCCCCUGGACCGGUACUGACGCUGAGGCGCGAAAGCGUGGGUAGCAAACGGG
RNAcentral lists this ribosomal RNA (253 nucleotides) under uncultured bacterium. RNAcentral's name for it is "partial 16S ribosomal RNA". It matches the Rfam family "Bacterial small subunit ribosomal RNA", at positions 524 to 776 of the family's 1533-position model. The record is from RNAcentral.